Camelus dromedarius (Arabian camel) is the source of this 841-nucleotide long non-coding RNA. RefSeq lists it as uncharacterized. The transcript has 5 exons. Lineage: Eukaryota; Metazoa; Chordata; Mammalia; Artiodactyla; Camelidae. The record is from RefSeq and is a predicted model, not a curated record.
CUCUUUAGAUAGUAGCAACAGUUCCUGACAUCUGGAUAAUAUUUCACAUGAGACAAAACACUACCAUGGAGCAUCUUAUUUCAUCCCAAGCAGCCUCCUUUUGGGGACGAAGUAGCUCCUGCUCAGAGAACCAGCCUGACUUGCCCAAGGAUACGCAGAGUGAAUGGGAGAGUCAGAAGACAGACCUAGGCCAGAUCAUCCCAAGGUUGUUCUUCCUGACCUGUGAAUCCAGGACCCCAGUCUAACGCCUACACUUAUGCAGCCCGGAGGGGCCAACCCCUGCUCAGCCAGGAGCACGCUGACUCCUGAUUGUGGAAAGUUUGCCUGUGUCUGAAUGCAAGCAGAUGUCCCCAGCUGCUGAAUCGUGCGGCCAUGUGAAACCAAUCACCCACUCCGCACAAACAUGCUUUGUCAGGCCAAAGUCUGAAGAUGCAACCAACUCAUCCUGCUUCUCAUAAAGCAGGGGGCGUGGAAAUAGAGAAAUGAGCGUCCCGAAGCGUCCCGUGUGGCAAGCUGGGCCCUGGUAAAAGUGAGGCCUGGCGUUUACCUCUGGAUUUGAAUGUUCCCAAGAAUGACGUUUCAAGAAGUAUCUUCCUAUCCUGGAUUUAGGGGGAGGUCCUCCAGCCGUGCAGAGGCUACAGGAAGAAAGAGGUUAAAAAAGAAGAGAAGAUGUCCUACAUCGGACUCUUGUGCCUCCGAGGCAGGAACCUGCUGUUGGAUUCUCGGAUGCCCUGGAGUCCUGGUUGGUGGCUGAAGCUGAGAGAAGGUCGGCACUCUCACAAACUAACUCGGAUACUGCCUGACUCUGGGCCUCUCUGACAGGCAACGUGCCUUAACUCUG